Molecule: long non-coding RNA, 588 nt
Filed under: Glycine max (soybean)
Lineage: Eukaryota; Viridiplantae; Streptophyta; Magnoliopsida; Fabales; Fabaceae
Description: long non-coding RNA (GMAX_LNC002567)
Source: RNAcentral
UGAUGUUGCAAGUAGGAACUAAAUGAGCUCGUGUUAUAAAAAAAUGUGUCUAGAGCUGUUUCAGAACAAAUGUUUUCUUUGUUCCAUGUUCAUCUCAAAGACAUACAUUGAAAUUGUUGGAAAUAAUCCAAGUCUCACAUCGGCUAAAAGUAAUUCUACACUAAAAUAUAUAAGUGAGGGGCAACCCUCACCCCUUGAGCAAGCUUUUGGGAUUGAGUUAGGCCUUUCACAUUAUUUAUUCUAAGAUGGUAUUAGAGUCAAUUCUGAUCUUGGGACUACGCUUCCGCUAGUCCUCGCUUUGUGGUGACAAACACCCACCCCUGACUCUGACUGAUCUUGUGUUAGAGAGUUAUAGUUUACACCACACUUGGUGAGAGUUGAGACAAAUUGUAAGUCAUCCUUGUUGGAUGAAGUUGAGAGAUAUUUUGUCCCGUGGUUUUUACCUUUCACAUUGAAAGGGUUUUCCACGCUAAGUUAUUUUGUCCCGUGCCUAUUUUGAGUCUAUAGAGAGGAAAAUAAUGCUAGUAUUCUCCAAUAGAUUUAUAGCUCAUUCAAGCGAGAAGUGAAGUUUAGAAACUCAUCCUCCUU